This 70-nucleotide transfer RNA is filed under the name Priestia megaterium. Its description in RNAcentral is "Bacillus megaterium tRNA-Met". It matches the Rfam family "tRNA". From Rfam's summary of the family: Transfer RNA (tRNA) molecules are approximately 80 nucleotides in length. Their secondary structure includes four short double-helical elements and three loops (D, anti-codon, and T loops). Further hydrogen bonds mediate the characteristic L-shaped molecular structure. tRNAs have two regions of fundamental functional importance: the anti-codon, which is responsible for specific mRNA codon recognition, and the 3' end, to which the tRNAs corresponding amino acid is attached (by aminoacyl-tRNA synthetases). tRNAs cope with the degeneracy of the genetic code in two manners: having more than one tRNA (with a specific anti-codon) for a particular amino acid; and 'wobble' base-pairing, i.e. permitting non-standard base-pairing at the 3rd anti-codon position. The record is from RNAcentral. Lineage: Bacteria; Bacillati; Bacillota; Bacilli; Caryophanales; Bacillaceae.
UGGAGCAGUUCGGUAGCUCGUCGGGCUCAUAGCCCGAAGGUCGCAGUUUCAAAUCCUGGCCCCGAAACCA